RNAcentral lists this ribosomal RNA (1373 nucleotides) under Arthrobacter ginsengisoli. RNAcentral describes it as "bacterial SSU rRNA". It matches the Rfam family "Bacterial small subunit ribosomal RNA". The record is from RNAcentral. Lineage: Bacteria; Bacillati; Actinomycetota; Actinomycetes; Micrococcales; Micrococcaceae.
CACGUACCGUCGCUAUUGUGACGAUGCAGUCGACGAUGAACCUCACUUGUGGGGGGAUUAGUGGCGAACGGGUGAGUAACACGUGAGUAACCUGCCCUUAACUCUGGGAUAAGCCUGGGAAACUGGGUCUAAUACCGGAUAUGACUCCUCAUCGCAUGGUGGGGGGUGGAAAGCUUUAUUGUGGUUUUGGAUGGACUCGCGGCCUAUCAGCUUGUUGGUGAGGUAAUGGCUCACCAAGGCGACGACGGGUAGCCGGCCUGAGAGGGUGACCGGCCACACUGGGACUGAGACACGGCCCAGACUCCUACGGGAGGCAGCAGUGGGGAAUAUUGCACAAUGGGCGAAAGCCUGAUGCAGCGACGCCGCGUGAGGGAUGACGGCCUUCGGGUUGUAAACCUCUUUCAGUAGGGAAGAAGCGAAAGUGACGGUACCUGCAGAAGAAGCGCCGGCUAACUACGUGCCAGCAGCCGCGGUAUACGUAGGGCGCAAGCGUUAUCCGGAAUUAUUGGGCGUAAAGAGCUCGUAGGCGGUUUGUCGCGUCUGCCGUGAAAGUCCGGGGCUCAACUCCGGAUCUGCGGUGGGUACGGGCAGACUAGAGUGAUGUAGGGGAGACUGGAAUUCCUGGUGUAGCGGUGAAAUGCGCAGAUAUCAGGAGGAACACCGAUGGCGAAGGCAGGUCUCUGGGCAUUAACUGACGCUGAGGAGCGAAAGCAUGGGGAGCGAACAGGAUUAGAUACCCUGGUAGUCCAUGCCGUAAACGUUGGGCACUAGGUGUGGGGGACAUUCCACGUUUUCCGCGCCGUAGCUAACGCAUUAAGUGCCCCGCCUGGGGAGUACGGCCGCAAGGCUAAAACUCAAAGGAAUUGACGGGGGCCCGCACAAGCGGCGGAGCAUGCGGAUUAUUCGAUGCAACGCGAAGAACCUUACCAAGGCUUGACAUGAACCGGAAAUACCUGGAAACAGGUGCCCCGCUUGCGGUCGGUUUACAGGUGGUGCAUGGUUGUCGUCAGCUCGUGUCGUGAGAUGUUGGGUUAAGUCCCGCAACGAGCGCAACCCUCGUUCUAUGUUGCCAGCGCGUUAUGGCGGGGACUCAUAGGAGACUGCCGGGGUCAACUCGGAGGAAGGUGGGGACGACGUCAAAUCAUCAUGCCCCUUAUGUCUUGGGCUUCACGCAUGCUACAAUGGCCGGUACAAAGGGUUGCGAUACUGUGAGGUGGAGCUAAUCCCAAAAAGCCGGUCUCAGUUCGGAUUGGGGUCUGCAACUCGACCCCAUGAAGUCGGAGUCGCUAGUAAUCGCAGAUCAGCAACGCUGCGGUGAAUACGUUCCCGGGCCUUGUACACACCGCCCGUCAAGUCACGAAAGUUGGUAACAC